Molecule: small nuclear RNA, 107 nt
Organism: Perognathus longimembris pacificus (Pacific pocket mouse)
Lineage: Eukaryota; Metazoa; Chordata; Mammalia; Rodentia; Heteromyidae
Source: RefSeq, a predicted model, not a curated record
GUACUCGCUUCAUCAGCACAUAUACUAAAAUUUGAACAACACAGAGAAGGUUAGCAUGGCCCCUGUGCAAGGAUGGCACAAAAAUUUGUGAAGCAUUCCAUAUUUUA